UCAGUCGCACGAGAAGGGAGCAUCCUAAGUAAAGUGGCGCACGGAUGAGUAACACGUGGAUCAUCUACCUUUUAGUGGGGAAUACCUCUGGGAAACCGGAGACAAUACCGCAUAAGCCUGUAAAGGGAAAGCAGCAAUGCGCUGAAAGAGGAGUCCGCGGUCCGAUUAGCUAGUUGGCGGGGUAAUGGCCCACCAAGGCGAAGAUCGGUAGCCGGCCUGAGAGGGCACACGGCCACACUGGCACUGAAACACGGGCCAGACUCCUACGGGAGGCAGCAGUGGGGAAUCUUGCACAAUGGGCGAAAGCCUGAUGCAGCGACGCCGUCGUGAGCGAUGAAGCCCUUCGGGGUGUAAAGCUCUUUCGACGGGAACGAUAAUGACGGGUACCCGGAGAAAAGCUGCGGCUAACUACGUGCCAGCAGCCGCGGUAAUACGUAGCAGGCGAGCGUUGUUCGGAAUUACUGGGCGUAAAGAGUGUGUAGGCGGUGUUCCCAAGUCUGUUGUGAAAUCUCCCGGCUUAACUGGGAGGGUGCAAGCGGAAACUAGAAUGCUAAGGGUGGGGAUAGGUAAGGGGAAUUCCUGGUGUAGCGGUGAAAUGCGUA
RNAcentral lists this ribosomal RNA (602 nucleotides) under uncultured bacterium. RNAcentral describes it as "bacterial SSU rRNA". It matches the Rfam family "Bacterial small subunit ribosomal RNA", at positions 58 to 692 of the family's 1533-position model. The record is from RNAcentral.